Molecule: ribosomal RNA, 810 nt
Filed under: uncultured bacterium
Lineage: Bacteria
Description: bacterial SSU rRNA
Rfam family: Bacterial small subunit ribosomal RNA
Source: RNAcentral
GAGUNCAGAAGGGGAGAGUGGAAUNCCAUGUGUAGCGGUGAAAUGCGUAGAUAUAUGGAGGAACACCGGUGGCGAAAGCGGCUCUCUGGUCUGUAACUGACGCUGAGGCUCGAAAGCGUGGGGAGCGAACAGGAUUAGAUACCCUGGUAGUNCACGCCGUAAACGAUGAGUGCUAGGUGUUAGGCCCUUUCCGGGGCUUAGUGCCGCAGCUAACGCAUUAAGCACUCCGCCUGGGGAGUACGACCGCAAGGUUGAAACUCAAAGGAAUUGACGGGGGCCCGCACAAGCGGUGGAGCAUGUGGUUUAAUUCGAAGCAACGCGAAGAACCUUACCAGGUCUUGACAUCCCGAUGCCCGCUCUAGAGAUAGAGUUUUACUUCGGUACAUCGGUGACAGGUGGUGCAUGGUUGUCGUCAGCUCGUGUCGUGAGAUGUUGGGUUAAGUCCCGCAACGAGCGCAACCCUUAUUGUUAGUUGCCAUCAUUCAGUUGGGCACUCUAGCGAGACUGCCGGUAAUAAGCCGGAGGAAGGUGGGGAUGACGUCAAAUCAUCAUGCCCCUUAUGACCUGGGCUACACACGUGCUACAAUGGCUGGUACAACGAGUCGCAAGUCGGUGACGGCAAGCUAACCUCUUAAAGCCAGUCUCAGUUCGGAUUGUAGGCUGCAACUCGCCUACAUGAAGUCGGAAUCGCUAGUAAUCGCGGAUCAGCACGCCGCGGUGAAUACGUUCCCGGGCCUUGUACACACCGCCCGUCACACCACGAGAGUUUGUAACACCCGAAGUCGGUGAGGUAACCUUUUAGGAGCCAGC